This is a long non-coding RNA of Glycine soja, 358 nucleotides long. RefSeq lists it as uncharacterized. The transcript is spliced from 2 exons. The record is from RefSeq and is a predicted model, not a curated record. Lineage: Eukaryota; Viridiplantae; Streptophyta; Magnoliopsida; Fabales; Fabaceae.
AAACGGCAUGAAAUAAACAGACACAGAAGGCAAAAUAUGUUGAAUUCAUCAACUCUAAACAAAAAAUGGUAGGUUCAUUCAACAGAAAUUAAGCUGUCCUUCCAUCUCAGUGUAUGAAAAGUUGAAAGCCGAAUUCUCCGAUCUGCAAAUCAAAUACAAUGACCUUUUAGCAGCACACCACAAAACCUGCAAAGAGUUAGAAGAAAUGAAAAGCUCGCAUGCCUUGGCAACGGCAUCUACGAAGGAAACAACUGAUAGUGAAUCUCCUAAAGAUGGGCUCUAAAGCUUCUGCAUUGAAACUUGCAAUUCUUGGAGGUCCAUACAGGUGUAUUUAACCUGGUUUGCAAUUUUUCCAAUG